GAGUUUGACCUUCUUCCCAACAUUUUCUGAUGUUUUCUCAGAGGAUGAAAAGGUUCAUUUCUCAGCCAGAGGACAUUAUGUUCUCAUUGGUGUUGGUGUUGUCCUUGGCAUCAUCAUCAUCAUCAUCAUCAUAAUCGGUAUCUGGAAACAUAAACAGAUCCAGCAUUUCUGGAAGCAGCUCAGAGGAAGAGAGGACCAAAGAGCAGAGCCAGUGGAAGAAGAACAUGAAAUGAAGACGCUGAACGGGGAAGCACCUGAGCUGGAGUGAACCUGGAGAGUCCUGCAGGAAACACCCUGGGAGGAGUCGAGGUGGAGGAGUGAGAAUAAAACCAGAUGUUAGAGAUGCCAAAGACUUUACUGGACCAAAAAAAAAAAAAAAAAAAAAGCUGGACUGUAUUUUAAUGAACCGAUGACAUCAGGUCUUUGUCAGGUGGAUUUCAUCAAGAAUUUUAUGAAGGAUAAAUGUAUUUAUGUAAUUAUUUUGUAUUUAUUUAUUGCACUUUCAGCCUGUUAAACAGUUUUCAGACUCAUAAGACCCAGAACCAGACUCUUCUAUUUCUCCACUGCAGCUUGUACGUCUUUUAACUGAGACGAGCAAAUAUCAGCACAUUUCCCUGGUUUUAUUCUCACUCCACUGGCUGGUUGGAUCUGUGUCAGGAAGCCACCUGCAGGACCUGAAGGGGUCAUGACAUUUGGGGUCUUUUCAAGAUGAGUCCACCUAUUUCUCCAGUUGGUUCUUGUCUUCUUGAGAAUUAGCAACUCUUACAACCUAAAAGAAAUUUGCACAAGACAAAUGUAGUGUGAGGCUGAAGCAUUAUCAGGAAACACUACAAGUCACAACAUGAAGCUCGACUGGAACCAAAGAGAAAAAUCUGUUCAGGUGUUGAAUUUGACUGUAGCUUUGAAACAUUUGUGGUGUAAUGUUGAGACUCAUGUUGUUUAACUGUCAUGACUUUAACACCAGAUUCCAAGACCAAGUGUUGAAACUGAUUUGAAUAUUCAGCUUCUGUUCCUUAAAGCACUUUCAAUUUGUUUCCAGCUGCUUCAUCUAUUUAUUUUCACCUUGUUUUCUGAAACAAAUUUUAUUUAACUUUGGGUUUUUCUUCUUUCUCUUCUUUCUGUUGUUCAAUGUGCUUUGUUAUAUACAAUAAACUCUGUUGUCCCUUCAUGUCCCAGUCUGUCAUUAUUUUGAUGAUCUCAGUAUUUAGUUAUUUAAUAACUGCUUCAGCUAAAUGACAGUAAAACACACAACUGCAACUUUAUUUGUUGAGCCCUUUUAAAAACACAAAACAGGUCAAAUCUAAAUAUCAACAUCUCAGACUGUCAAAGGUCACUGAGGACAGGGGAGUUUCAUGAAGACAUUUAAAAAUAGAUCAGGAGGAGGCCUGUCUAAUGUGAAGGGCAGCUCAUUCCACAGUCCUGGUG
RNAcentral lists this long non-coding RNA (1425 nucleotides) under Mastacembelus armatus (zig-zag eel). RNAcentral describes it as "lncRNA (ENSMAMG00000026983.1)". Lineage: Eukaryota; Metazoa; Chordata; Actinopteri; Synbranchiformes; Mastacembelidae. The record is from RNAcentral.